This 423-nucleotide ribosomal RNA is filed under the name uncultured bacterium. RNAcentral describes it as "bacterial SSU rRNA". It matches the Rfam family "Bacterial small subunit ribosomal RNA", at positions 358 to 772 of the family's 1533-position model. The record is from RNAcentral.
GGAAUCUUGCGCAAUGGGCGAAAGCCUGACGCAGCAACGCCGCGUGAGUGAUGAAGGUCUUCGGAUCGUAAAGCUCUUUCGGCAGGGAAGAACGGCCUCUGGGUGAACAAUCCAGGGGCGUGACGGUACCUGCAGAAGAAGCACCGGCUAACUCUGUGCCAGCAGCCGCGGUAAUACAGAGGGUGCAAGCGUUGUUCGGAAUUAUUGGGCGUAAAGCGCGUGUAGGCGGGAUGGCAAGUCGGGUGUGAAAGCCCUCAGCUCAACUGAGGAAGUGCGCCCGAAACUACCGUUCUUGAGUGCCGGAGAGGGUGGCGGAAUUCCCGGUGUAGAGGUGAAAUUCGUAGAUAUCGGGAGGAACACCAGUGGCGAAGGCGGCCACCUGGACGGACACUGACGCUGAGACGCGAAAGCGUGGGGAGCAAA